Molecule: non-coding RNA, 69 nt
Organism: Podarcis lilfordi (Lilford's wall lizard)
Lineage: Eukaryota; Metazoa; Chordata; Lepidosauria; Squamata; Lacertidae
Source: the annotation of a GenBank genome assembly
GGAUAGUUCAGUUGGUAGAGCAUGAGACUAUUAAUCUCAGGGUCAUGGUUUCGAGACCCACGUUGGACA